RNAcentral lists this transfer RNA (76 nucleotides) under Acidimicrobiales bacterium. RNAcentral describes it as "tRNA-Ala". It matches the Rfam family "tRNA". Rfam says of the family: Transfer RNA (tRNA) molecules are approximately 80 nucleotides in length. Their secondary structure includes four short double-helical elements and three loops (D, anti-codon, and T loops). Further hydrogen bonds mediate the characteristic L-shaped molecular structure. tRNAs have two regions of fundamental functional importance: the anti-codon, which is responsible for specific mRNA codon recognition, and the 3' end, to which the tRNAs corresponding amino acid is attached (by aminoacyl-tRNA synthetases). tRNAs cope with the degeneracy of the genetic code in two manners: having more than one tRNA (with a specific anti-codon) for a particular amino acid; and 'wobble' base-pairing, i.e. permitting non-standard base-pairing at the 3rd anti-codon position. The record is from RNAcentral. Lineage: Bacteria; Bacillati; Actinomycetota; Acidimicrobiia; Acidimicrobiales.
GGGGCUGUAGCUCAGCUGGGAGAGCGCUUGCAUGGCAUGCAAGAGGUCGUGGGUUCGAUCCCCAUCAGCUCCACAA